This 238-nucleotide long non-coding RNA is filed under the name Carica papaya (papaya). RNAcentral's name for it is "long non-coding RNA (CPAP_LNC008463)". The record is from RNAcentral. Lineage: Eukaryota; Viridiplantae; Streptophyta; Magnoliopsida; Brassicales; Caricaceae.
CUAUCUCUCUUCUUGGCAAAUGUGACUCUAGCACCCGAAGAGGACACACUAUGUCAGAUAAAUCCACUAUCCUGCAAUUCAUUGAUCUGUUUCUUCAACUUCUUCAUCUCAACAUGACUCAUCCGGUAAGGAAUAAUCGAAAUAGGCUGGGUGUCUGGCUAAAGGUCUAUUGUAAAUUUGACUUCUCUGCCCACUGGCAGUUCAGGUAGUUCAUUCAGGAACACAUUCGAAAAGUCUU